CGGCUGGAGGCGACUUAGAUGCCAUGUGAUGGUCAUUUGAAGACAGGACUUCUGAAUAUCAGGACAGAGAUCUAGUUUGUUCUCUCUCUGCCGUGUGGUACCAUGAAAGUCACCCGUGUCACCAGGAAGAGCACCCACCAGAACACAAACAUGCUGGCACUAUGACCUCAGACUUUAAGCCUCCAGAAUGGUGAGAAAUAAACUUCUGAUGUUUAAGCCACAC
Non-coding RNA from Cricetulus griseus (Chinese hamster), 223 nucleotides. NCBI's taxonomy places the organism in Eukaryota, Metazoa, Chordata, Mammalia, Rodentia, Cricetidae. The record is from RefSeq and is a predicted model, not a curated record.